UGCUGCCUGUUUCUCCUGGACUCCCUGCUUGCUCCCUAAGGACGGCCAUUUUACUGCUGCCUUCUCCUGUGCUCCUGCUCCUGUAUCAGCCUCGGACCAUCAGAACAGUGCAACGGGACGCUGCUCGAUCUUUGGUGAAGACAGGUGCACUGAAAGCAAAGCUUGUGGUGGCAGACCAAGACUUGAUACCAACUACAAACUGGAAGACAUUUAUCCAAGAAAAUAAGUCCUAUUUUAAGCAUAAGUCUUGCUAAUCGGCAAUAUCUAGCUAAUGAGUUGCAUCUAUGAUAUAUAGGUCUACCAUAUUCAAAUGAUUUGUUGAGCGGUCUUUCACUUUGUGCUGAGAACUUCAGUUAGAAAUAGGCUCAGCAUGGGCAAUCCUCAAGUAGAUGUACACUUACGGCUCUAUCAAUAAAAAUGAAUGGGCUCUGG
This is a long non-coding RNA of Numida meleagris (helmeted guineafowl), 432 nucleotides long. RefSeq lists it as uncharacterized. The record is from RefSeq and is a predicted model, not a curated record. NCBI's taxonomy places the organism in Eukaryota, Metazoa, Chordata, Aves, Galliformes, Numididae. The transcript is spliced from 2 exons.